GCCAUGAAUAUCAUUAGUCAUAACACAGCUUUGGUGAAUACUCUAUUUUGAUUGGUCAAUCACAGCAUUCUACGUACAGGAGACGGUUGGCAAUAGUGCUAAUCGCUGCCACUCUGCACGGGGCACUAGCUGGCUCGGGCUUCUGUGGGAGAUCUCUGCUCAUUCAGAGCUCGUACCGCUGAUUAAGGGAUCACAAAGGGAGAGAGGGUGGAGGAAACUGGUAGCAUAACGGGAGAGGUGCUCAUCAGUGGAAUCGUCAACCAUCCCGACCGGGAUGCCGGCUAUCGGAGGGUAACCUCAAUAUGAGCACCAAUCACCCUUAGAAGCCUACCAUGGGCGGUGUGCAGAGCAUUGCGGCAGUGAGGCGCUGGUCAUCAGCCAGCGAGACAUAACCAUGAAGGGAGGGGCCAACCGUUUCAGGAUUUACCAAACAGAUCUGCUUUAGAUAGGAUGUUGGGUAGUCUAGCAUUGCCAGACCUCCACAGCACUGUUGAGUAAGGUCUUACUACACCAUACAUACAUUCUAGGAUAAGA
This is a long non-coding RNA of Perca fluviatilis (European perch), 534 nucleotides long. RefSeq lists it as uncharacterized. The record is from RefSeq and is a predicted model, not a curated record. NCBI's taxonomy places the organism in Eukaryota, Metazoa, Chordata, Actinopteri, Perciformes, Percidae. The transcript has 2 exons.